RNAcentral lists this transfer RNA (71 nucleotides) under Bracteacoccus minor. RNAcentral's name for it is "tRNA-Asn". It matches the Rfam family "tRNA". From Rfam's summary of the family: Transfer RNA (tRNA) molecules are approximately 80 nucleotides in length. Their secondary structure includes four short double-helical elements and three loops (D, anti-codon, and T loops). Further hydrogen bonds mediate the characteristic L-shaped molecular structure. tRNAs have two regions of fundamental functional importance: the anti-codon, which is responsible for specific mRNA codon recognition, and the 3' end, to which the tRNAs corresponding amino acid is attached (by aminoacyl-tRNA synthetases). tRNAs cope with the degeneracy of the genetic code in two manners: having more than one tRNA (with a specific anti-codon) for a particular amino acid; and 'wobble' base-pairing, i.e. permitting non-standard base-pairing at the 3rd anti-codon position. The record is from RNAcentral. Lineage: Eukaryota; Viridiplantae; Chlorophyta; Chlorophyceae; Sphaeropleales; Bracteacoccaceae.
UCUUCGAUAGCUCAGCGGUAGAGCGGUUGGCUGUUAACCAAUAGGUCGUAGGUUCAAGCCCUACUCGAGGA